This is a non-coding RNA of Myodes glareolus (Bank vole), 312 nucleotides long. The record is from RefSeq and is a predicted model, not a curated record. NCBI's taxonomy places the organism in Eukaryota, Metazoa, Chordata, Mammalia, Rodentia, Cricetidae.
GUGGCCAGAGGGCGUUAGGAGCACAGGCUGCACUUCCCUGAGGCUCGCCCGGAGAGAUUUUUGAAGCCCUGGGUUUGUUUCCCAGCUGAUGGCUGCUGAAUUCACACUACAAAUGCCCACCGCAGAGAAGACUGCUCAUCAGGCAGAGAUACAGGAGCACACUAGCCAGAUGACGACCUCCAAACUCCCUAACAAGACAGAGCUCUGCGCCCGACUAGCAGAACUUGAGGAACAAGGCUGCCCCCGUGUGGUGGGAAAUGUGAACACCAGAGGGAUUUGUGCAAAAAAGUGAGAAAUAUGAAGAAAUAUGAA